RNAcentral lists this ribosomal RNA (1076 nucleotides) under Nocardioides exalbidus. RNAcentral's name for it is "bacterial SSU rRNA". It matches the Rfam family "Bacterial small subunit ribosomal RNA", at positions 73 to 1162 of the family's 1533-position model. The record is from RNAcentral. Lineage: Bacteria; Bacillati; Actinomycetota; Actinomycetes; Propionibacteriales; Nocardioidaceae.
GGCCACUUCGGUGGUACUCGAGCGGCGAACGGGUAGAGUAACACGUGAGUAAUCUGCCCUUGGCUUUGGGAUAGCCACCGGAAACGGUGAUUAAUACCGGAUACGACCACUUCUCGCAUGGGAUGGUGGUGGAAAGUUUUUUCGGCCAGGGAUGUGCUCGCGGCCUAUCAGCUUGAUGGUGAGGUAAUGGCUCACCAUGGCUUCGACGGGUAGCCGGCCUGAGAGGGUGACCGGUCACACUGGGACUGAGACACGGCCCAGACUCCUACGGGAGGCAGCAGUGGGGAAUAUUGGACAAUGGGCGGAAGCCUGAUCCAGCAACGCCGCGUGAGGGAUGACGGCCUUCGGGUUGUAAACCUCUUUCGCCUGUGACGAAGCGCAAGUGACGGUAACAGGUAAAGAAGCACCGGCCAACUACGUGCCAGCAGCCGCGGUAAUACGUAGGGUGCGAGCGUUGUCCGGAAUUAUUGGGCGUAAAGGGCUCGUAGGCGGUUUGUCGCGUCGGGAGUGAAAACCAGGUGCUUAACACCUGGCUUGCUUUCGAUACGGGCAGACUAGAGGUAUUCAGGGGAGAACGGAAUUCCUGGUGUAGCGGUGAAAUGCGCAGAUAUCAGGAGGAACACCGGUGGCGAAGGCGGUUCUCUGGGAAUGACCUGACGCUGAGGAGCGAAAGUGUGGGGAGCGAACAGGAUUAGAUACCCUGGUAGUCCACACCGUAAACGUUGGGCGCUAGGUGUGGGGUCCAUUCCACGGAUUCCGUGCCGCAGCUAACGCAUUAAGCGCCCCGCCUGGGGAGUACGGCCGCAAGGCUAAAACUCAAAGGAAUUGACGGGGGCCCGCACAAGCGGCGGAGCAUGCGGAUUAAUUCGAUGCAACGCGAAGAACCUUACCUGGGUUUGACAUACACCCUGCCGCUCCAGAGAUGGGGCUUCUUUUGGGGGUGUACAGGUGGUGCAUGGCUGUCGUCAGCUCGUGUCNUGAGAUGUUGGGUUAAGUCCCGCAACAAGCGCAACCCUCGUUCUAUGUUGCCAGCACGUAAUGGUUGGGGACUCAUAGGAAAACUGCCCGGGGUCAAC